CUUAGCCCUAAACAUAAAUAGUUAUAUAAACAAAACUAUUCGCCAGAGUACUACCGGCAAUAGCUUAAAACUCAAAGGACUUGGCGGUGCUUUAUACCCUUCUA
RNAcentral lists this ribosomal RNA (104 nucleotides) under Odocoileus sp. RNAcentral's name for it is "partial 12S ribosomal RNA". The record is from RNAcentral. Lineage: Eukaryota; Metazoa; Chordata; Mammalia; Artiodactyla; Cervidae.